GUGAAAGAUAUAUUGUUGUCAGAAAAAGAACUCUCUGCUAAUGUCAAACAGGCCAUUGACAACAUUUCUUGAUGGGUGGUUGAGUUAUGUCAGAGCACAUUUACACUGAAAGAAAGAAGAGAAAACUCGGAGAAGAAGAAUAGAGAUCAAAUCCAAAUGAUUCCAUAGGUUCCCAAAUGGACUUAAGAACCCUUUAAGAAUAAUAUUUAGAACACUUGCAGAUCCAGAGGCUAUGGGUAAUCAAAGUUGUAGGACAAUAAAAGUAAGUGUGGGGGUGUGGGUGUUGGUGUGGGGGUGGCAGGGGGCAGAUACCUAGUAUAAAACCAUAAUCCCAGCUCUUUAAGGCUCUAUUAUGUUUUGUUUUUCAGGAAAAAAGGCUCAAACUUCUCAAAGCUCUGGGCUGCUACAAGUUCAGCAGGAUCAUUUCAGUCUUUAUCACAUACAGAAUAAGAAAUUAAACUCUAACCUGUUGACUGUGUGAAUGCUUUCAGGAAGAGGAAUAUAUAAGGCCUUCCCUGACUACCAGCUGUAUUCCUCACUAAACUGCAAAGAAAUGGUGGAAGUACCUCAGCUUCACCUGUGAGAAGGCCCCUUCCAUGUAAAUACUUGGUUCAUUGCCAGAUUUGGAUAAAAACAGCAGAGAUGGCAGCCCCUUCUGAGGGUGUGUCCUUAAAUGGGAGAUGGGGAAGAUGAGAUACCACUGUCAAAUAAGAGAGAGAAGACAAAGAACAGAUAUAAUAGAAGAAGGACACAUUCAUGGGCAGCAUGGGCAAGUGUGCACAGCUGUUGGGAGAAUACCAAGCAUUUAAAGAGCACUUUACAUUUCCAGAGCGCUGUGUAAAUAUAACAUUAAUCCUUGUUGCAUCCCUGUUAGGGAGUGGAACACAAGGGAUUGUAUCUACUGGUUAGAAC
Molecule: long non-coding RNA, 912 nt
Filed under: Crocodylus porosus (Australian saltwater crocodile)
Lineage: Eukaryota; Metazoa; Chordata; Crocodylia; Crocodylidae
Description: lncRNA (ENSCPRG00005011878.1)
Source: RNAcentral